AUACGUAGGUCCCGAACGUUGCGCGAAAUUACUGGGCGUAAAGGGUCCGUAGGCGGUCUGGUAAGUGGAAGGUGAAAGCCUGGGGCUCAACUCCAGAAUUGCCUUCCAAACUGCCGGACUUGAGGCAGGGAGAGGUCGGCGGAAUUCCCGGUGUAGUGGUGAAAUGCGUAGAUAUCGGGAGGAACACCAGUGGCGAAGGCGGCCGACUGGAACUGUCCUGACGCUGAGGGACGAAAGCCAGGGGAGCGAACCGGAUUAGAAACCCUAGUAGUCCC
Molecule: ribosomal RNA, 275 nt
Filed under: uncultured bacterium
Lineage: Bacteria
Description: partial 16S ribosomal RNA
Rfam family: Bacterial small subunit ribosomal RNA
Source: RNAcentral